UACGGGAGGCAGCAGUGGGGAAUAUUGCACAAUGGGCGAAAGCCUGAUGCAGCUAUGCCGCGUGUAUGAAGAAGGCCUUAGGGUUGUAAAGUACUUUCAUCGGGGAGGAAAAAACAAAACUAAUAAUUUUAUUUCUUGACGUUACCCGAAAAAGAAGCACCGGCUAACUCCGUGCCAGCAGCCGCGGUAAUACGGAGGGUGCUAGCGUUAAUCAGAAUUACUGGGCGUAAAGAGCGCGUAGGUGGUUUUUUUAAGUCAGAUGUGAAAUCCCUGGGCUUAACCUAGGAACUGCAUUUUGAAACUGAAAUACUAGAGUAUCGUAGAGGGAGGUAGAAUUCUAGGUGUAGCGGUGAAAUGCGUAGAUAUCUGGAGGAAUACCUGUGGCGAAAGCGGCCUCCUAAACGAAUACUGACACUGAGGGUGCGAAAGCGUGGGGAGCAAACAGGGAUUAGAUACC
Molecule: ribosomal RNA, 457 nt
Filed under: uncultured bacterium
Lineage: Bacteria
Description: bacterial SSU rRNA
Rfam family: Bacterial small subunit ribosomal RNA
Source: RNAcentral